Molecule: unclassified non-coding RNA, 303 nt
Filed under: plant metagenome
Description: partial contains 5.8S ribosomal RNA, internal transcribed spacer 2, and large subunit ribosomal RNA
Rfam family: 5.8S ribosomal RNA (bases 1-105)
Source: RNAcentral
GAAAUGCGAUAAGUAGUGUGAAUUGCAGAAUUCAGUGAAUCAUCGAAUCUUUGAACGCACAUUGCGCCCUUUGGUAUUCCUUAGGGCAUGCCUGUUCGAGCGUCAUUUAAACCUCCAAGCCCUGCUUGGUGUUGGGUGCCUGUCCCGCCCCGCGCGUGGACUCACCUCAAAUCCAUUGGCGGCCCCCGCAUGGCCACGAGCGCAGCAGAAACGCAAACUCGUGUGCCGGACCGGGCGGCUCCCAGAAGCUACACUCACCAUUUUUGACCUCGGAUCAGGUAGGGAUACCCGCUGAACUUAAGC